AUGAAGCUGGAUUCGCUAGUAAUCGCGCAUCAGCCACGGCGCGGUGAAUACGUUCCCGGGCCUUGUACACACCGCCCGUCAAGCCAUGGGAGUUUGUAACGCCCAAAGUCGGUGGCCUAACCUUUAUGGAGGGAGCCGCCUAAGGCGGGACAGAUGACUGGGGUGAAGUCGUAACAAGGUAAC
Molecule: ribosomal RNA, 183 nt
Filed under: uncultured bacterium
Lineage: Bacteria
Description: partial 16S ribosomal RNA
Rfam family: Bacterial small subunit ribosomal RNA
Source: RNAcentral